GACGAACGCUGGCGGCGUGCCUAAUACAUGCAAGUAGAACGCUGAAGGAGGAGCUUGCUUCUCCGGAUGAGUUGCGAACGGGUGAGUAACGCGUAGGUAACCUGCCUGGUAGCGGGGGAUAACUAUUGGAAACGAUAGCUAAUACCGCAUAACAGUAGAUGUUGCAUGACAUUUGCUUAAAAGGUGCAAUUGCAUCACUACCAGAUGGACCUGCGUUGUAUUAGCUAGUUGGUGAGGUAACGGCUCACCAAGGCGACGAUACAUAGCCGACCUGAGAGGGUGAUCGGCCACACUGGGACUGAGACACGGCCCAGACUCCUACGGGAGGCAGCAGUAGGGAAUCUUCGGCAAUGGACGAAAGUCUGACCGAGCAACGCCGCGUGAGUGAAGAAGGUUUUCGGAUCGUAAAGCUCUGUUGUAAGAGAAGAACGGGUGUGAGAGUGGAAAGUUCACACUGUGACGGUAUCUUACCAGAAAGGGACGGCUAACUACGUG
This 495-nucleotide ribosomal RNA is filed under the name uncultured bacterium. RNAcentral describes it as "partial 16S ribosomal RNA". It matches the Rfam family "Bacterial small subunit ribosomal RNA", at positions 28 to 507 of the family's 1533-position model. The record is from RNAcentral.